UAAAAGCAAUCUGAAAACAUGUGAUACGUAGUUCAUUCACAAUAUAGAUUUCAAUAAAAUCAAUCUGAAAACAAGUGUAUACAUAGUUCACUGAGGAUAACUUCGAAUGUCAAAUGCAUACAAUUCCAAAGACGGACUCCAACCCAAAUCAAUAGCCAAGACUAACGGACUUUGAACUAAACCAAGUCCGCAACCAAGGUCAUGUACAAUGCAAGAUGUUUAGAAAAAUAAACAGACUUUACCUUAAGCAUCGGUGCUUAUUUGUGGGGAGCAAAGGUGUCUAGAAAAAUAAACCGGCUUUACCUUAGGCACCGGCACUUAUUUGUAGAGAGCAGAUGCUUAACUACACAAACCGGCUUUACCUUAGGCACCAGCACUUAUUUGUAGAGAGCACAUGCUUAACUACACACCCCAGCUAUAGAUAUAAGCACUGGUGUUUCCACAAAAUACGGAUUGUCCCCAGCACUAUGAUAUAAGCACUGAUGCUUCCACAAAAAUUGGAUUAUUUAACGAAACACCUCUGUAAGCAGCUUGCAUUGUUGUAAAUAAGGGCCAUCUUUUCCUUAUCUUCUACUAUUACCAUUAUUUAAAAUAUGUAAUGUAAUUCAUUACAAGUGGGUGAGAUACUAUCUUCUCUUAAAUACUAUAGUUUUUUCUUUGAAAAAUGAACUCCAAAUGGAAAUCUUUAGAUUGACGAAGUGACCAUGGACACAUCGUACUUAACAGGUACACCAUACUGCUAAAAAAUGAAAACAC
Molecule: long non-coding RNA, 756 nt
Filed under: Triticum aestivum (bread wheat)
Lineage: Eukaryota; Viridiplantae; Streptophyta; Magnoliopsida; Poales; Poaceae
Description: long non-coding RNA (TAES_LNC013293)
Source: RNAcentral